Molecule: unclassified non-coding RNA, 905 nt
Organism: Octopus bimaculoides (California two-spot octopus)
Lineage: Eukaryota; Metazoa; Mollusca; Cephalopoda; Octopoda; Octopodidae
Source: RefSeq, a predicted model, not a curated record
UUCAUUGAUUAUGCAUUUUACUUGGUGUAGUAAUGAAAACGCAGCAGAUUUUUAAUUUCUAUUAUUACAGUAGAUAUUCCACUUGCUAAUUGUGUCUAUCGAAAGCCGUCUAUUGUCUUAUCAUUGAGAUAACACUUGCUACGUAUCUCUGUUGGCUGUUUUAUGUCAUCAAAUUGAUCCAGGUUGAUACUUAUGUUCAUCAUACAACACGAUAUCCGACAGAAACAUGUGGCUAGUGAUACCCCUAUGAUAAAACAAGAUACGAUUUUUGGUAGACACGAUCAGUAAGUGAAUCAUCUGCAGGAAGAAAAAAGAAAUGAAAUUUCACAGUCGUAUUUGUGAUCCACACCUUCAAAUGUAUGACUGAAAUAUUUCCACGAAGGGAAAAGUCGUAUGUGGAAGACUCGUGAAUACAACAUAAUUUCAUUAAUAGUUCCACUCAGUUAGGCAUGACCUGGGGCUCAAAUGCAGUGACUUAACACGUUUGCUAAGAUAGUACAAUGUUCGUUAUUGUCCAAUAUUCUGUAGUUCGACAUGUUACAUAAUAUCUAAAGGUGGAGGAGUCGAUGUCUCUAUAAGUAGACACAACACAAAGUUGCGUAAUAUAACUUUAAAAGCAAAAUAUAUCGUAAAGAAUAAUUUCUCUGAAUAUCAGACAUCUGUGGCAUAAACAAGUUUUUCCUGCAGAUACAUUCAUGAAUAUUGAUCAUCUUUCGAAGACUAAUGGAAGAUGUUAUAAAUAAUCGACACAAGCCUGCUUAUAGAAUAUAUCUAUGAGAUCAUCCAACCAAAUCUUGUGCUGGUGAUACGAACAUAAACUAUAGAGUUCACACUCUCUAUCAAUGUACGAGAAAAGCUACACACUUCUCCAAACUGAUCUACAAUAAAUGUUUAUUUUGAAGCUA